Molecule: ribosomal RNA, 301 nt
Filed under: uncultured bacterium
Lineage: Bacteria
Description: partial 16S ribosomal RNA
Rfam family: Bacterial small subunit ribosomal RNA
Source: RNAcentral
CAGUAGCCGCGGUAAUACAGAGGAUGCAAGCGUUAUCCGGAAUGAUUGGGCGUAAAGCGUCUGUAAGUGGCUUUUCAAGUCCGUCGUCAAAUCCCAGGGCUCAACCCUGGACAGGCGGUGGAAACUACCAAGAUGGAGUACGGUAGGGGCAGAGGGAAUUUUCGGUGGAGCGGUGAAAUGCGUUGAGAUCGGAAAGAACACCAACGGCGAAAGCACUCUGCUGGGCCGACACUGACACUGAGAGACGAAAGCUAGGGGAGCAAAUGGGAUUAGAUACCCCCGUAGUCCCUGUCUCUUAUAC